RNAcentral lists this ribosomal RNA (253 nucleotides) under uncultured bacterium. Its description in RNAcentral is "partial 16S ribosomal RNA". It matches the Rfam family "Bacterial small subunit ribosomal RNA", at positions 524 to 776 of the family's 1533-position model. The record is from RNAcentral.
UACGUAGGUGGCAAGCGUUGUCCGGAAUUAUUGGGCGUAAAGCGCGCGCAGGCGGUCCUUUAAGUCUGAUGUGAAAGCCCACGGCUCAACCGUGGAGGGUCAUUGGAAACUGGGGGACUUGAGUGCAGGAGAGAAGAGUGGAAUUCCACGUGUAGCGGUGAAAUGCGUAGAGAUGUGGAGGAACACCAGUGGCGAAGGCGACUCUCUGGACAUUUCCUGACGCUGAGGCACGAAAGCCAGGGGAGCAAACGGG